GACGAACGCUGGCGGCGUGCUUAACACAUGCAAGUCGAACGCUUAAGCUUUGUUCUUGCUCUGGUUGGUUUAGUGGCUAACGUGUGAGUAAUACGUGUGUAACCUGCCCUUGACUCUGGGAUAAUCCUGGGAAACUGGGUCUAAUACUGGAUAUGACAUGCCACUGCAUGGUGGUGUGUUGAAAUGGUUUUUCUGGUUUUGGAUGGGCUCACGGCCUAUCAGCUUGUUGGUGGGGUAAUGGCCUACCAAGGCGACGACGGGUAGCCGGCCUGAGAGGGUGAACGGAGAAAAUGGGACUGAGAGAGGGAGCAGAAGAGAACGGGAGGCAGCAGUGGGGAAUAGUGCACAAUGGGCGGAAGCCUGAUGAAGCGAAGCGGCGUGAGGGAUGACGGGGUUCGGGGUGUAAAAAACUUUAAGAACGGAAGAAGCGAGAGUGACGGUAAGGGAAGAAGAAGCGACGGCUAACUACGUG
This 472-nucleotide ribosomal RNA is filed under the name uncultured bacterium. RNAcentral's name for it is "partial 16S ribosomal RNA". It matches the Rfam family "Bacterial small subunit ribosomal RNA", at positions 28 to 507 of the family's 1533-position model. The record is from RNAcentral.